AUACUGCUGACGAGUCCCAAACAGGACGCAACAGCUGUCCGGUGC
This 45-nucleotide non-coding RNA is filed under the name Echinostoma caproni. Lineage: Eukaryota; Metazoa; Platyhelminthes; Trematoda; Plagiorchiida; Echinostomatidae. The record is from RNAcentral.